UACGUAGGGGGCAAGCGUUGUCCGGAAUCAUUGGGCGUAAAGCGCGUGUAGGCGGUCCGGUAAGUCGGCUGUGAAAGUCCAGGGCUCAACCCUGGGAUGCCGGUCGAUACUGCCGGACUAGAGUUCGGAAGAGGCGAGUGGAAUUCCCGGUGUAGCGGUGAAAUGCGCAGAUAUCGGGAGGAACACCUAUGGCGAAGGCAGCUCGCUGGGACGUUACUGACGCUGGAGGCGCGAAAGCUAGGGGGAGCAAACGGG
This 255-nucleotide ribosomal RNA is filed under the name uncultured bacterium. RNAcentral's name for it is "partial 16S ribosomal RNA". It matches the Rfam family "Bacterial small subunit ribosomal RNA", at positions 524 to 776 of the family's 1533-position model. The record is from RNAcentral.